Non-coding RNA from Acanthosepion pharaonis, 113 nucleotides. The record is from the annotation of a GenBank genome assembly. Lineage: Eukaryota; Metazoa; Mollusca; Cephalopoda; Sepiida; Sepiidae.
UUAUGGCCACAUCACGUUGAAACACCGGUUCCCAUACGAUCAACGAAGUUAAGCUGCAUCGAGUCUGGCCAGUACCUAGGCUGACGACCGCUUGGGAAUACCAAAUGCCGGAA